ACUUCAAAACCCCACCGACACCUCCUUCCUAUGCAAAUCUCACAAUUCGAAACUCCCGCCAUAAAACGGGCGAAUCCAAACGAAGCUGCGAGUUUACGCAAACUCGCAGGUGGUACCUUAUUUGGCUCUGGCCUGUACAUUUGUCACGCCUCAAAAUUUACAUACAGACCAGCCCACUGGUGCUCUGAGCCCAGGAACGUGAAUGGAGAGCGAAGAUGAGACAAACACUAGUUUAGCUGCCUGCUCGUUUACUUCCACAGGAAUCCUUGAAGCAGAGAGUUCUUCAAGGAUAUCGAAAAUGAGCCACGGUCGUAAAUGCAGUGUUCCAGGUUGAAAUUUAGGCUACAAAGAAAGCUGAGACUUUCCAUAGUCUUCCCAAGGAUUCAAAAGUUCGAGGGGCAUGGAUAAUGUUUUUCUACCAGAAGAAGAUCCCUGCAAAGUUCGACACUCUGUUAUUAAUUUGCAAAACAUUUCACCGAAGGCAGUUUUCAAAACCUUGUACAGUUAAGCAGGAUUUGCUAAGCUGCUGUUACUGAAACGAGGGGCUGUUCCGACCGUAAGGUCAUCACAACCGCAUGCUGUUUUAUCUAGCAGCCAUGCACUUCAAUGAGAAUGCUGAGUCCCCACAACAGAAGACAGCCAAGGAGAAACUAUGUACAAACUUGCCAAAUUUAUCAUCAAAGACCCUCUUCCUUACUGGGAUGCCGUCCAGCGGAUUCCUGUGCCCCAGGACUUGUGUGCUCAGCUAGACCGACCUUCCAUGGAGGAUGCUGUUGCUGAACAUGUAUCAUUUUGUGGACCAGGUACAUCUCCAGCUCCGCCACUCGCCGGCCCAGACAGGCCCGGAUGCCGAACCCGAACGGCACGGAGCCGAAGGGGUGCUGGUUGAGCUGCUUGUCGGCGCCACGGAGCCAGCGCUCGGGCAGGA
Molecule: long non-coding RNA, 928 nt
Organism: Alosa alosa (allis shad)
Lineage: Eukaryota; Metazoa; Chordata; Actinopteri; Clupeiformes; Clupeidae
Exons: 4
Source: RefSeq, a predicted model, not a curated record